This 450-nucleotide ribosomal RNA is filed under the name uncultured bacterium. RNAcentral's name for it is "partial 16S ribosomal RNA". It matches the Rfam family "Bacterial small subunit ribosomal RNA", at positions 354 to 796 of the family's 1533-position model. The record is from RNAcentral.
GUGGGGUAUAUUGGACAAUGGGCGAAAGCCUGAUCCAGCCAUGCCGCGUGUGUGAAGAAGGUCUUCGGAUUGUAAAGCACUUUAAGUUGGGAGGAAGGGCAGUAAGUUAAUACCUUGCUGUUUUGACGUUACCGACAGAAUAAGCACCGGCUAACUUCGUGCCAGCAGCCGCGGUAAUACGAAGGGUGCAAGCGUUAAUCGGAAUUACUGGGCGUAAAGCGCGCGUAGGUGGUUUUGUAAGUUGGAGGUGAAAUCCCCGGGCUCAACCUGGGAACUGCCUCCAAAACUGCAUGACUAGAGUACGGUAGAGGGUAGUGGAAUAUCCUGUGUAGCGGUGAAAUGCGUAGAUAUAGGAAGGAACACCAGGGGCGAAGGCGACUACCUGGACUGAUACUGACACUGAGGUGCGAAAGCGUGGGGAGCAAACAGGAUUAGAAACCCCGGUAGUCC